UCAAACGAAAUCUUUAUAAUUAAGCCUAAUUUAACCUAAUACAGUACACGAAGUAUAACAUUUUAUGUUCAUACACAAGAAGCAUUAUGCUCCACAGUUCAUAUUUUUCAAAUUAGUAGUGCUUAUAAUAAAACCAUGUACUAAACAACAUAUUAAUCGACCACCUAACGCUUCGAGAGGAACUUACAUGCAUCGGGAAUGCCACUUUGGCGGCAUCCCAAGCCAUCACGCACUGCCGUAUGUUUUUGGGAUACCGCCAGCAUCUCCGUUGCAAGUUCUACAACGAUGCUUAUCAUCAAUCAUGCUGGAAGUAAGCUCUUACAUCCAGUGGCUACGCCGAAUCCGGUAAACGAGUUCCGAUCCUUCCAAGCCGCCGAAACAAGAACAUGAACGAACGGUUCCGAGGCAGCAGAAGAGAGCUCUCAAAUUACCUCAACAAAAUGGUAAAUAAAGUAAGUAAAUACUAGACAAUCUUACAACUACACACGACAGAGCACCCGAGUAAAAAUGUCAAGCUUUUUUGCUACGUAUCAAUGGCUGCCUUGCGGGUAAAGUUAAGUAGAAUCAAUCUAUUAACAGUCAGGAUUCACGAAGCUCUUCACCUCCUCCAUGAGGCAGUAGAAAUGCUCGUUGUUCGGCAAGAAGUAGAACCCGAUCGUCGCCUGCUUUAAGAACCGAAGCUUCACAUCCUGCCCUGCGUUUUUAAGCCCUUCCACAUAAGCCAAUUGCCAAUCUUGCAUGAGAUCGAAACCGGCCACAACAACAAGACUCUUGGGAAAUUUCAAGCCCUCGAGGCUCUUGUCCCUCGGGCCGAAAACGUGACACGCCGGAUGAUCUCUGUCUUCGCCUUCUGGCAGAAAUGCCCGCCAGUACCAAUCACGGUCUUGUAUUGUUACGAAGUACUUCCCAUCCAAUCUCUUCUCUGUUUCUGUUCUCUUCUGCCCCCCAAACAUCGGGUGGAGAAGGAUGUUUCCGAGCACCUCAACCUCCGCUUCUGCCGCCUUGACUGCGACGUGGUGAGCAAUGUUGCCGCCCGAGCUGUCUCCAGCUAGGUAAAC
RNAcentral lists this long non-coding RNA (1058 nucleotides) under Malus domestica (apple). RNAcentral's name for it is "long non-coding RNA (MDOM_LNC003427)". The record is from RNAcentral. Lineage: Eukaryota; Viridiplantae; Streptophyta; Magnoliopsida; Rosales; Rosaceae.